This 957-nucleotide ribosomal RNA is filed under the name Triticum aestivum (bread wheat). RNAcentral's name for it is "partial small subunit ribosomal RNA". The record is from RNAcentral. Lineage: Eukaryota; Viridiplantae; Streptophyta; Magnoliopsida; Poales; Poaceae.
AUGGCAGCCUUAGCACCUGUACAAGGCGGAGCAUUGGGAGGGGCCCGAGCAUACAGGCAUAGGGAUACUGUAGAUAGGAAGUCUUCGCGGUCCAUUAUUCCCCAUCUCGUACUACUAGUAGAAUUGAGAUUUAAUGCACUUUCUUCCCCAUCUUUCACUCUUCUUCCUCCUCUCUUCCCCAUCGUCGGCCGCACACCAUUUCCCCCCGCUCACUACUCGCCCGCCCGCGCCAUCUUCCUUGCAGACACAAAUGCGCUGGCCUUCAUGAUUCUAAGACCUGAAAUCAUACCAGCCGAUGGCCUACAAAGUCUGUCGCACAGCCUUGUAACUUCUUACCCCAUUUCUAAAUUUGUACUAGUCCUCUAUACCUACCAUAUAACUGGAAUUGACCGAUGCAACUCCAAGAAGGAUUGGUCGGUGCUGCCGGCUGGCGUCAAGUUCGAUCCCACGGAUCAGGAGCUGAUCGACCACCUUGAGGCCGAAGUGAGUGCUGACAGCGCGAGAUCGCACCCUCUCAUCGAUUUGUUCAUACCAACCAUCGACAGCGAGCACGGCAUAUGCUACACCCAUCCUGAGAAACUUCCAUGUAUCACACUGAGUGGCCUAAGCAAGCAUUUCUUCCAGCACCAUUCCAAGGCGUUCAAAAGGGGCACAUGGACGCGUCGCAAGAUACAGUCGGAGUGCGGCAUGCACGCGAUGUGGCACAAGACCGGCAAUACCUUGCCGGUGAUGAUCAAUGGCCGGCAGACGGGCAGCAAAAAGGUUCUGGUGCUGCACACCAACAAGAACUUCGACCAUUCGCGCAAAAAAAUGAACUUCAACCAGCAGAGGACCAACUGGGUGAUGCACCAGUACCACCUCGGGGACCUGGAGCAAGAGAAGGAGCGGGAGCUGGUCCUCUGCAAGAUUUUCUACCAGACGAACACUAGGGCCAGGACUAAAAAGAUUAUAAGUUAG